UACAUGGGGUGCAAAGGUUGCUCGGAAUUAUUGGGCGUAAAGCGCGCGUAGGCGGUUACUUAAGUCGGAUGUGAAAGCCCUCGGCUUAACUGAGGAAGUGCACCCGAAACUGAGUAGCUGGAGUACGAAAGAGGGUCGCGGAAUUCCCGGUGUAGAGGUGAAAUUCGUAGAUAUCGGGAGGAACACCGGUGGCGAAGGCGGCGACCUGGGUCGAGACUGACGCUGAGGCGCGAAAGCGUGGGGAGCAAACAGG
RNAcentral lists this ribosomal RNA (253 nucleotides) under uncultured bacterium. RNAcentral describes it as "partial 16S ribosomal RNA". It matches the Rfam family "Bacterial small subunit ribosomal RNA", at positions 524 to 776 of the family's 1533-position model. The record is from RNAcentral.